UGUUACCUAGCUAGCAGCUAGCUAGCGAGCCAUUUUUCCUGGCUAUACUGAUAGGUUAAUUAGCCAGCUAGCUGCUAAAGGUUGCUGGAGUAGACAUUAAUACAUUUCGGAAUGGAUUAUUAUUGCAUUGCUUAUCUUUGCUAUGAUGUCUUAAUGUUCUCAUAUGAAAUAAUUUUGUGUUGUGCAUAAUGUUAAAAAACUCCAUAGGAGUAAUGUUAAACUAGCUACUGGUAGCUAGCUACAUUCUAAUGCAAAUGUGGUCCUAGCUCGGUAGCUUUCCUGUGGCAGGCCGAGUUAUUUGCGCAAGUCACAAUGUGAGACAUUUUGUUUAGCAGUGAUUUUAUUUUGAAAUGGCAGCUAGGAUUAGGCAUUUGGAAUAUUUCACUAUUGAAAUAUGGAUAUCCGGAUGGUCCAAAUAUAUAUAUUUUUUUGUGAAAACAUACAUUAGUAAUGACAUGUCUAUUUUAAAAUUGUUCUCGUCAGAACACGGAUAAAAGCAGGAAUCUCUCGUGCCAAGGCAAGCCUGGGAAAGAACUGAAAAAACACACUAAAGAGUCAAGACAGACACCAGAAAGAGGCCCAAGAAGACUUGGACGCAGGAUCAGAGGACAGCGAGGGAUGUUCAGAACUCACUCGGUUUGGAGAAUGACUUCUCAACCCAAGAGGCCCAAGAGCAGCUGUGAGAAAGCAUCAGUUUGGAAGCAUUUGGGAAAAUGUAAAGUGGUGAAGAAGGUUCCCGGCAAAGAGGAUUGCCUGUUUUGGGUCAGAGCCAGCUCUCAAAAACAGAACAUGGAAAGACAUAAAAACCUAGGUGCACAACACAAUGCAAACAGAAAAGGCCCUCCGCAGCCAGUAAAAGGCUAGCAUGCCACAAAGCUGAACCCAGCUGCGACCCGGAGACCCAUGGGUUGGCGCACAAUUGUCCCAGCGUCGUCCAGGUUAGGGGAGUGUUUUUCCGGCAGGGAUGUCCUUGUCCCAUUGCGCUCUAGCAACUCCUGUGGUGGGC
This is a non-coding RNA of Salmo salar (Atlantic salmon), 1006 nucleotides long. The record is from RefSeq and is a predicted model, not a curated record. Lineage: Eukaryota; Metazoa; Chordata; Actinopteri; Salmoniformes; Salmonidae.